Thalassophryne amazonica is the source of this 308-nucleotide long non-coding RNA. RefSeq lists it as uncharacterized. NCBI's taxonomy places the organism in Eukaryota, Metazoa, Chordata, Actinopteri, Batrachoidiformes, Batrachoididae. The transcript is spliced from 3 exons. The record is from RefSeq and is a predicted model, not a curated record.
UGUUGGUAUUGCUUCGUAGACACUAACAUUGCACAUAAAUGAAAAAGUUAUGUUCUUUUUCUCCAUUUAUGAAAAAACAACUUCACAAUUAUCCUUGUGAAAUUUUAUAUAUAUAUGUAUAUAAAAAAAGCAUAAAAUAUAAAAAAUCUCAACAACCAUCCUGUAUGUUGGAACAAUUUCAAUGCAUGAUAUCAAAAGUGCAAUUUACAAUGUGCUUGUUCCAGAUGUGGUUGCGAGUUCUGUGGAAGUCAUGGCAGACCUGUUAGAUGCAAAAAAAAAAAAAAAAAAUCAAAAGAUUUUUCAACGAG